GAUGAACGCUGGCGGCGUGCUUAACACAUGCAAGUCGAACGGAAAGGCUCCUGCUUGCAGGGGUACUCGAGUGGCGAACGGGUGAGUAACACGUGGGUGAUCUGCCCUGCACUUCGGGAUAAGCCUGGGAAACUGGGUCUAAUACCGGAUAGGACGAUGGUUUGGAUGCCAUUGUGGAAAGUUUUUCGGUUUGGGAUGAGCUCGCGGCCUAUCAGCUUGUUGGUGGGGUACUGGCCUACCAAGCAGUCGACGGGUAGCCGGCCUGUGAGGGUGUACGGCCACAUUGGGACUGAGAUACGGCCCAGACUCCUACGGGAGGCAGCAGUGGGGAAUAUGGCACAAUGGGCGCAAGCCUGAUGCAGCGACGCUGCGUGGGGGAUGACGGCCUUCGGGUUGUAAACUCCUUUCGCUAGGGACGAAGCGCAAGUGACGGUACCUGGAGAAGAAGCACCGGCUAACUACGUG
This 465-nucleotide ribosomal RNA is filed under the name uncultured bacterium. Its description in RNAcentral is "partial 16S ribosomal RNA". It matches the Rfam family "Bacterial small subunit ribosomal RNA", at positions 28 to 507 of the family's 1533-position model. The record is from RNAcentral.